UAGGGAGUAGUAUAGUGGAAGUACGUGGGGUUUUGAGCCCCUUGGUGCAGGCUCGGUUCCUGUCUUCCUA
This 70-nucleotide transfer RNA is filed under the name Plestiodon ochoterenae. Its description in RNAcentral is "tRNA-Gln". It matches the Rfam family "tRNA". Rfam says of the family: Transfer RNA (tRNA) molecules are approximately 80 nucleotides in length. Their secondary structure includes four short double-helical elements and three loops (D, anti-codon, and T loops). Further hydrogen bonds mediate the characteristic L-shaped molecular structure. tRNAs have two regions of fundamental functional importance: the anti-codon, which is responsible for specific mRNA codon recognition, and the 3' end, to which the tRNAs corresponding amino acid is attached (by aminoacyl-tRNA synthetases). tRNAs cope with the degeneracy of the genetic code in two manners: having more than one tRNA (with a specific anti-codon) for a particular amino acid; and 'wobble' base-pairing, i.e. permitting non-standard base-pairing at the 3rd anti-codon position. The record is from RNAcentral. Lineage: Eukaryota; Metazoa; Chordata; Lepidosauria; Squamata; Scincidae.